Molecule: ribosomal RNA, 235 nt
Filed under: uncultured bacterium
Lineage: Bacteria
Description: partial 16S ribosomal RNA
Rfam family: Bacterial small subunit ribosomal RNA
Source: RNAcentral
UACGUAGGGGGCAAGCGUUGUCCGGAUUUAUUGGGCGUAAAGAGCGUGUAGGCGGCCUGAAAGGUCAGCUGUGAAAACUCGAGGCUCAACCUCGAGACGUCGGUUGAAACCAUCUGGCUAGAGUCCGGAAGAGGAGUGUGGAAUUCCCGGUGUAGCGGUGAAAUGCGCCAGAUAUCGGGAAGAACACCCGUGGCGAAGGCGGCACUCUGGGACGGUACUGAACGCGUGAGACGCG